Molecule: ribosomal RNA, 254 nt
Filed under: uncultured bacterium
Lineage: Bacteria
Description: partial 16S ribosomal RNA
Rfam family: Bacterial small subunit ribosomal RNA
Source: RNAcentral
UACGUAGGGUGCGAGCGUUAAUCGGAAUUACUGGGCGUAAAGCGUGCGUAGGCGGUUCUCCAAGUCCGUUGUGAAAGCCCCGGGCUUAACCUGGGAACUGCAUUGGUGACUGGCAGGCUUUGAGUGUGGCAGAGGGAGGUAGAAUUCCACGUGUAGCAGUGAAAUGCGUAGAGAUGUGGAGGAAUACCGAUGGCGAAGGCAGCCUCCUGGGCCAACACUGACGCUCAUGCACGAAAGCGUGGGGAGCAAACAGG